This 429-nucleotide ribosomal RNA is filed under the name bacterium. Its description in RNAcentral is "partial 16S ribosomal RNA". It matches the Rfam family "Bacterial small subunit ribosomal RNA", at positions 355 to 776 of the family's 1533-position model. The record is from RNAcentral.
UAGGGAAUCUUCCACAAUGGACGCAAGUCUGAUGGAGCAACGCCGCGUGAGUGAAGAAGGUUUUCGGAUCGUAAAGCUCUGUUGUUGGUGAAGAAGGAUAGAGGUAGUAACUGGCCUUUAUUUUACGGUAAUCAACCAGAAAGUCACGGCUAACUACGUGCCAGCAGCCGCGGUAAUACGUAGGUGGCAAGCGUUGUCCGGAUUUAUUGGGCGUAAAGCGAGCGCAGGCGGAAGAAUAAGUCUGAUGUGAAAGCCCUCGGCUUAACCGAGGAACUGCAUCGGAAACUGUGUUUCUUGAGUGCAGAAGAGGAGAGUGGAAUUCCAUGUGUAGCGGUGGAAUGCGUAGAUAUAUGGAAGAACACCAGUGGCGAAGGCGACUCUCUGGUCUGCAACUGACGCUGAGGCUCGAAAGCAUGGGUAGCGAACAGG